Lates calcarifer (barramundi perch) is the source of this 593-nucleotide long non-coding RNA. RefSeq lists it as uncharacterized. The record is from RefSeq and is a predicted model, not a curated record. The transcript is spliced from 3 exons. Lineage: Eukaryota; Metazoa; Chordata; Actinopteri; Centropomidae.
GGGAACUGUAAGACUCUACUAAAUUCACAGAACUCAUUAUUAUAGUUAUAGUUAGUACAGAGUUGUUCAUUUCAGUAUUUUGUACAGCUCAUUAUUAGCGUGAUUACCAUAAAGAACAACAGAGGCGUUAGUGAUGGCAAUAGUUCUAUAAAUGGCUGUUUACUGGCAUGAAGACCGGUCUACGUUUACGAAUUAAAACAAAGAUGGCGGCCCAUUGCUAGCUAGCAAAGAAUCAGAGUCGCAACGUGGAAUACUGGUUACAAACUUUUUUUUCACCUCCCAGAGGACAGAAUAUUUUUUCAUCCAGAUGAUAAAGGGAGUCUUUUACGUUUCUGGACGUGCUCACAGUGGAACUGCAACACACGAACUGUGUCACAUCAAUACAAACAUAAUGCACUUCUGGGCACCUGGAUGUCUUCAUGAUUCCGGUGAUCAUUGUUCUCAUAGGAUGAGUGGUGAAGAUACGCGGUGAGAGAUAUGGUGCGUGUGAAGACAUUUAACUGCGAGACACAGUUUCCCAUUGAGAGGUCAGAGAAACACUGCUGUAGUUUAGUCUGACUGCUGAGUUGGCUGCAUAAUAAAAACCCAGUUGG